Molecule: microRNA, 21 nt
Filed under: Picea abies (Norway spruce)
Lineage: Eukaryota; Viridiplantae; Streptophyta; Pinopsida; Pinales; Pinaceae
Description: pab-miR11406
Source: miRBase by way of RNAcentral
UUGACCAAGUUGGAGAUGAUC